This is a transfer RNA of Aspergillus oryzae, 103 nucleotides long. It matches the Rfam family "tRNA". From Rfam's summary of the family: Transfer RNA (tRNA) molecules are approximately 80 nucleotides in length. Their secondary structure includes four short double-helical elements and three loops (D, anti-codon, and T loops). Further hydrogen bonds mediate the characteristic L-shaped molecular structure. tRNAs have two regions of fundamental functional importance: the anti-codon, which is responsible for specific mRNA codon recognition, and the 3' end, to which the tRNAs corresponding amino acid is attached (by aminoacyl-tRNA synthetases). tRNAs cope with the degeneracy of the genetic code in two manners: having more than one tRNA (with a specific anti-codon) for a particular amino acid; and 'wobble' base-pairing, i.e. permitting non-standard base-pairing at the 3rd anti-codon position. Lineage: Eukaryota; Fungi; Ascomycota; Eurotiomycetes; Eurotiales; Aspergillaceae. The record is from Rfam.
GGCACUUUGGCGGAGUGGUUAACGCGAUGCCCUGCUAUACAGUAUCUGUAUAUCGGUCUAGGCAUUCCCUUCGGGGGCGUGAGUUCGAAUCUCACAGGUGUCG